RNAcentral lists this microRNA precursor (60 nucleotides) under Monodelphis domestica (gray short-tailed opossum). RNAcentral's name for it is "microRNA mdo-mir-12298 precursor". The record is from miRBase by way of RNAcentral. Lineage: Eukaryota; Metazoa; Chordata; Mammalia; Didelphimorphia; Didelphidae.
UUUCCAGGAAUGGGGGAUAGCCUGCAUGAAUGCAGAGGUCAUUCCCUAUGCCUGGAGUGC